UGGGGAAUAUUGGACAAUGGGGGCAACCCUGAUCCAGCCAUGCCGCGUGUGUGAAGAAGGCCUUCGGGUUGUAAAGCACUUUAAGCAGGGAGGAAGGCUCGUACGUUAAUAGCGUGCGGGAGUGACGUUACCUGCAGAAUAAGCACCGGCAAACUCCGUGCCAGCAGCCGCGGUAAUACGGAGGGUGCAAGCGUUAAUCGGAUUUACUGGGCGUAAAGCGCACGUAGGCGGUUUGUUAAGUCGGAUGUGAAAUCCCCGGGCUCAACCUGGGAGCGGCAUUCGAUACUGGCAAACUGGAGUACGAGAGAGGGGGGUGGAAUUCCAGGUGUAGCGGUGAAAUGCGUAGAUAUCUGGAGGAACACCGGUGGCGAAGGCGGCCCCCUGGCUCGAUACUGACGCU
This 400-nucleotide ribosomal RNA is filed under the name uncultured bacterium. Its description in RNAcentral is "bacterial SSU rRNA". It matches the Rfam family "Bacterial small subunit ribosomal RNA", at positions 355 to 747 of the family's 1533-position model. The record is from RNAcentral.